Solanum dulcamara is the source of this 531-nucleotide long non-coding RNA. RefSeq lists it as uncharacterized. The record is from RefSeq and is a predicted model, not a curated record. Lineage: Eukaryota; Viridiplantae; Streptophyta; Magnoliopsida; Solanales; Solanaceae. The transcript has 3 exons.
UCAACUUUACAACAUCAUAUACCAAACGACCCCAAUACCCUUUGUUCUUUAACACCAAAAUACACGCACCUUUUAUCUUCUUUUUUUUUUCAACACAAAGAACCACCAUUUUUUCUUGCGAAAAUUCCUCAAAAUCCUGGGGGAUUUGAGCUCACUCAUCUCCCUCAAAACAAUUUAGGAGCAGCACUCGAAAUUGGUGUGGAAAUCUAUCUGCUCAACUCAUCGUCUCAAGUUUGAUGCACGACAAGAGACUAGCAGCAACAAAUGAGCAGCAAGGAAAUGGGUCAAAGUAAAACAUAUGCAGCGGCAAUAGUUAGCCCCUCAAAAGGCUAAAAUGAUUGAGACUUUGGACUUAAGAAGUCCUCUUUGAUCAGUGGCUACAAGAAGUAGAAAUAGAAGUAGAAAUGGAAGAAUGCCUUUUUUUUUAAUUCUUUACUUUAUUUAGUUCUUGACUAUAGUUGUGAAUUCAUGAUAUUUGUUACUAAUUUAUUGAAUCACUAAUUAACUUAGAUGAAUCCUCAAAUGAAAAAA